GGCUUCUAAGCCAUUUCAAUAGUUGUGUAAUUGUAUAUUGAUUUUGUAUAUUUGAUGUAUAUAGAGUGUAUAUAUAAUGGGCAGUGAUGAUAUAUGUUCUGGGCUCAUGUGUUGAGCCACUGACACUUAUGAGCCUAAUGGGUCAUAUCUGAGCCCGGGUCAUUUGACCCAAUAUCCGACCCAGUCCGGUCCAAUUCUUAUUUGUACAUAUGGUGUAGAGGAGAAGGUUCUACACAUCAGAUAUUUUCAUUUUCAUUUCCCAACAACCGACUCUUCGGUUCUCUCAAUCUCUCCUCCUUCUCUCUACUUUCUCUCUCUAGUUUCUC
This 326-nucleotide long non-coding RNA is filed under the name Nicotiana benthamiana. Its description in RNAcentral is "long non-coding RNA (NBEN_LNC010923)". Lineage: Eukaryota; Viridiplantae; Streptophyta; Magnoliopsida; Solanales; Solanaceae. The record is from RNAcentral.